RNAcentral lists this long non-coding RNA (832 nucleotides) under Medicago truncatula (barrel medic). RNAcentral describes it as "lncRNA gene26501". The record is from RNAcentral. Lineage: Eukaryota; Viridiplantae; Streptophyta; Magnoliopsida; Fabales; Fabaceae.
CGUAUGUUAAUGUCUUGUAAGCUUAUAUCUAGGUUGGUGGUAAAGUAGGCUUCCAUUCUUUAAGGCUUAUGUUCCCAAACAGAGACAGGUAGUAAGUAACAAACGCAUCCAAAAAAAGCAACCAGACAAAUGUGGUCCGUCUGAUUUUUGGCUUAUUCUAUUAAUGAUGAAAUUAUUUGAGUUAAGUGGUUGUUGGGUGAAUAAGCUUUAUAGUCUUGUUUGACGUUUUGCCUUGCCAAGAUUGUGAUUGUUUUGGACAACAAUAUAUGAAUGAUGUUCUGGUUUGUAUGUAUGUAUUAUUAUUAUCCAACAUGUCAUGCAUUCUAUGAGAUUUGGUAUUAUUUGUAGCUCAUAGCAUGAAGAAAAUUUUCUCAAACUUUUGUUCCUUUGCCUAUCUCCAGCAAAUUUUAGUACUGCCAACUUUGAAGACUUUUUUUGUCGGUUUUAUCAUUUUCCUUCUUAUCUACUAAUGUACUAAAAAAACUAGCAUGCAUCCCAAUACAUGGAAACAUGGACUAUGUACAUUUAAUCGCAUCUAAAUGCUUACCAUUUGUUAAAUUUUAGCUCCUCUUGACAAUACUUCCUGAUUCCGUUACUGAAGUUGCAUAAGCAAAUUGAGGAAAAAAGAAUUGUAUAAUCAAAUUAAUAUUUGACAGCCACCACAAUUAAGUCAUUUUCGUUGUCUACGGUAUGGGCAUUAUCGUGCAGAACUAGUGCGUUGUAAUAAAGAUGUUAUUAUAUAUCUACCUUUUGUAUGAAUCAGCAGAAGUAGUGGAUCACCAUAUUCAAUUCCUAAUUUCUCAACAUAAGAAUGUGGCAGACAGAAGUUUUC